Long non-coding RNA from Lingula anatina, 556 nucleotides. The record is from RefSeq and is a predicted model, not a curated record. Lineage: Eukaryota; Metazoa; Brachiopoda; Lingulata; Lingulida; Lingulidae.
AACAUCUAGACUUCAUUAUUGACGUGUCAUUUGGCUUGAAAGGGGAAAUGCAAACACCCAAGGGACCUUUGUAUAUCAAAAUCAAAGUAGCACCUUGCGUGCUUUUUGUGCCUGUAUUGAAUAUUUAAUUAGAAUCGACCCAAGUGUAAAAGUAGCCCAGUUUUCACUGUAUUGGCAGUAACCUAUUGAAGUAAACAGAAUAGAGCGGUCUCUGAGGUUUAGGCCAACAGUCGCUGUUACUUUCCUAGAGUCUACCACGGGAUGGUAUAAGGAUACGUGGAAUAGCAUCCGGCUGUUCAUCUUAGUGCCAUGUACACCAAAAUUAAAGUGAUAACGAAGUUGUCAGUUGCCAACGAUGUAGUGAGAAGAAUAUUGAUGUUGGAUCCUCCUAUCAUUGGGGUGAGCGGCAAAGGAGUCCCAUUCAAUAACUUAGAGACAAUUACUUUGGUGACAGUUGUCACAUUGCAUGGAGAAGUUUUCAUCUUUGACAUCAGAAAAAACAGAGAUUUGAUGAUCAGCGGAGGAGUGGGUCGUGUGCUACAGUCAAAGGAAUUAA